Lynx canadensis (Canada lynx) is the source of this 2808-nucleotide long non-coding RNA. RefSeq lists it as uncharacterized. The transcript is spliced from 3 exons. The record is from RefSeq and is a predicted model, not a curated record. NCBI's taxonomy places the organism in Eukaryota, Metazoa, Chordata, Mammalia, Carnivora, Felidae.
GGAACCCCUCAUGAUCUAUGUAGCUGGGGCGCGGAUUAUUGUCGGAGCAACGCCUCCGCUUUCUUGGUCACCCCCCCCGGCCCAGGCUGGAAUGGGAGGACCCAGCGCGCCACGUGACCGAAUACUGCGCGUCACGUGACGAGGAAGCAGCGCAGCGGCGCCCGGGGAAGGAGUAGCUCUGGCGGAGCUUCUGGUAACCGUGGCGUCGGGCUCUGAGGCGCGCAGGAUUGGAGCUACUCGAAUUUUCCCCCUCAGAUACGCUAGUUGCGGGUGGUGUCCCGUGAUGGGGGGCAUGAGUCCUGUCUCACCAUGUCUGGCUGGCGGCGACCCAGGUGCCACGUGAUGGUCAUUUGAAGACAGGCCUGUCGGAUGUCAGGUAGUGAGCCCAUCACUGUGGCCAUUUUCACGUCUUCCUUGGUCGUGGGUGGGGGCAUCCGCAUGGUGCACGGGGCGUUAGGGACCCAGGCGUACCAGUCCAGCUGGGGGAAGAAACUGCAAGCCUAGGGUCCUGGUACUUCUGCUUGGAACCCCCGUCUUUCCCUUGGGAAUCCCAAGGUCCGACACUUGCCUUCGGGGACCCGGGCUGCCGGCUGUCAUACCUGGCCCUGGUUGAUGGCCCCGUGCUGGGCAGUGCAAGUGAAGACGCACAUCGUAAGGAAAUGACAGAGCUGACUCUGGGACUGGAAGGAGGCAGGGAAACCUGGGCAGAGAGGAAGGGGGUUUGGAGGCUACGGCCGGAGAGGAGAGACCUGAAGGCUGACGUCUUGGGAUGUCUGCACCGCUCGGGGUUGAACUGCACAGGUCCGCUUAUGUGUGGGUUAUUUACUGUACGGUAUUACAAAUGUAUGCUCCUUACGGUUUUCUUGACGUUUUCUUUUCCCUAGCUCGCUUUAUCGUCAGAAUACCGCAUAUGAUAACAUAGAACACACAAAAUACAUGCUAAUUGACUGUUUAUGUUACUGGUAAAGCUUCCGGUCAACGGUAGGCUCUUGGUAGUGAAGUUUUGGGGGGAGUCAGAAAGUAGAUGCGGAUUUGUAACUGCUGGGUGUGUGGGGGAGGGUCGGUGCCCUCACCCCUGCGUUAUUUAAGGGUCACCUGUGUUUUGGCAUUGAUGGGUAUUUGUUCCUUUAUUCAAGUAUAUUUGCAUUAGAUGUGAGUUUCAAUUCAGGUUCAAGCAAUAAUAUUUGGGUGCCUUAGACCAAUGACUUAAUCUCUCUGAACCCCGGUUUCUUCACCUGUAAAGUGUGGAUGCCACCUGCCUUAUAAAAGAGAAAAUGCAUUGAAGUCACCUAAUACAUUAUAAAUUCUCAAUAAAUAAUAAUUAUUAUUACGGAAGGGUUGGGGGUGAACAGCUCUGACUGAUAGAAUAUCUUCUGCCUCAAAAAGGGGUUAAGAAUUUAGGGAUGUUUCCUCCUACUCUGGAACAAGGGCAUUAUAAGUGUCUGAGUUACAAGGUGAGGAUUACGAGAAGUCCCGUGUUUGUGGUGUCAUGGCCAAGAGAGGGUUUCCACAAAGGUUGUCUCGGGCCACUGGUUUUACAGUGGAGGUGGGGACUCAGAGACCCAAUUAUCCUGUUAAGGGGAACAUAUAAUCACUCCCCUUCUGUAGAUUAAAAAAAAAAAAUCAAAGACCAGAGAGAUUAACCUGCUGGGCAGGAUCCCAUCUUUGGGAAAAGGCAGAGGCUGACCUUGAACUCCGGGUCCUGACUGCUUUUCUCAAGCUGUUUUUAAUUUUAGCACAUUUCCUCUAGAAAGGCUAUCGGGAAAAUUAGGCAAAGAGCACCAUGAGAACCGGGGUGGGGGUGGGGGGGAGAGGGGAAAAGAGAGAAUGAGAGGCAGUCGGUGGAGAUUAAAGCUGCCAUAUGAGUGUUUAUUUUUAUCUUCCAGAUGUAGAUGGUGGUUGGGAGGAGAUGGUUAGGGAGAGGAAGAAGGGUUUUCUGGGACUGAGGUGUACCAGGGAAAGUUUGCCCCGGAAGGGGGAGUGUAGGCAUUGGUUUAUCGCCCACUGUACCCCCAGGGCCUGGCCAGAGCGGCUCCCCGGACGCAGGAUGCCCGAAGGAUGAUUUCAAGCGGUCCCUGCUGGCCCGUGUGUGCUGGAGAGGGAGGAUGGACCCGCCAAAGGCUGAGAAAAGCUGUGUCUUCCCCAGAGGUUAAAGCGCAGGACUGAGCUCCUGCGCCUCCUGUCUGGACCUUCCAAAGUCGGGCGCUUAACCGACUGAGCCCCCCAGGCGCCCCUGGACCUUCUAGGUUUCGUGUGGGAGUUUUGUCCCAUGCUGACCUCAGGUCAGAGCCCCGCUGGCCCCCUCCCCGAAGCCCCUGCAUUUCCCAGCCGCCACUCUCACCCACCGGGCAAUGAUCUCCCAGAGCCGUAGGGCGUCGUGGGCGUAGAGGGCACUUGGGAUUCCCAGCAGGCCCCGCGCAGCCAGGUCGUCAGGAGGACAGAGGGAGCUGUAGGUCAGCUGGGCCAUGGCCCGACGGAGCAAGUGCACGUGGCCCCCUCCGCCAGUGCUCACCGCCUGCGACAAGAGAGAAGAGAGGCCUUGAGGGAAAAGACCGAGCACGGUGUGCAGGGGCUCGGAGGUGGGGUUCCACAUUUAAAGACACGAGCUUAGAGGGACAGGCGCGUGGGUUUAGGGCCAGGACACUCCCACCGUCUGGGAUCCUGAAAGUGGCGGGAGGUCACGGAAUGCUGGGUGAUGAGCCCCACCCCGUGGCCCGUCACCUCCUUACCUUAUCAAAUAUUCCUCCUUCCGAGAUGAGCUGGGAUCUGGCCCGGGUGUUGAUUUCCAAGGUAUAGCGGAUGUGCGGG